CGGGUGCGUAACACGUGGAUAAUCUGCCUGGUGUGUCUGGGAUAACCAGUCGAAAGGCUGGCUAAUACCGGAGAAGCCCCCGGGAGCUUCGGCUCCUGAGGGAAAAGGUGGCCUCUGUAUACAAGCUAUCACAUCCAGAUGAGUCCGCGGCCCAUCAGCUAGUUGGCGGGGUAAUGGCCCACCAAGGCAACGACGGGUAGCUGGUCUGAGAGGACGAUCAGCCACACUGGAACUGAGACACGGUCCAGACUCCUACGGGAGGCAGCAGUGGGGAAUUUUGCGCAAUGGGCGAAAGCCUGACGCAGCAACGCCGCGUGUGUGAUGAAGGUCUUCGGAUUGUAAAGCACUUUCGACCGCGGACGGAAAACCCGUUGGCUAACAUCCAACGGCUUGACGGUACCGGGAGAAGAAGCACCGGCUACUCUGUGCCAGCCGCCGCGG
This 441-nucleotide ribosomal RNA is filed under the name uncultured bacterium. Its description in RNAcentral is "bacterial SSU rRNA". It matches the Rfam family "Bacterial small subunit ribosomal RNA", at positions 103 to 520 of the family's 1533-position model. The record is from RNAcentral.